CCCGUCCAGCUGGGGAAGCUGGUGCAGACUGGCGUGUAGAACACAGGAAGCCGGAGGGAGGGCCAUUUCCCCUUUCGCCCUCGAAAGUCCCCUCCCUCCCCCCGGGUGUGCAGCAAGAUGUCAAACCGGGGGCCGUGGGGAGACCCUCCCUUGCGGCGGAGCUCCACGACUCUACUAUCUUAACUCUACUUGGGGGGCCUCCUUAUACCCCAACCCCCAGAUUCUAGUUGCCGAAGGGAGACAGGAUACAGAAGACCCAGCAGACAUGAGUGAAAACAGCUGCCUGCACAAGUUGUCCCCUAACAGGUACAGCCAAGAGUCAGAAGCACAGAGGGAGCUGGGGAAGCGACAUUUCUUACAGAGCCCACUGCUGUCCCUGUGUGAAGUGGCUCAUAUCAGCUCUCGAUUCUAUGCCGGUGUUCUGGAUUUCCUCUUGAGAUGUGCAUUUGUAUCAGCCAUCCUGUCCCCUGUGCCUCUGACGAGCUCCCUUCUGGAUGGCCUGCUGUCAUGCUGAGAUGACCCUUCACUAACAUCUGAGAAGUCCCUUUGCUGUUCUACGGUGUGGAAAACUUGUUUCCUCCAUCUCAUGUCUUCUUCCUUGCUUAAUUCCUUUGUUUAAUGAAACAAAUUAAUUCCUUUGUUAAUGAAACUUCCCAAUAGUUUCCUAAGAAAAGUGUGUAAGUGGUCAACUAUUUGCAACCUAAUAUGUCUGAAAAUUCUACAUAUACUUUUAACAUGUAGUUUGAUUGGGUAGAUGAGUCCAGUGUGGAAAUAUUUUUUCAAAAAUUAGAAGCUAUUGCACUAUUGUCUUGUAGUAUGGUGUGUUGCUUUUGAGAAGUUGUAAGCCAUUUUUUUUUAAUCCUUUGUGUGUUUAUAUCUUUUCUUCUGUUUUUGCAC
Molecule: long non-coding RNA, 897 nt
Filed under: Heterocephalus glaber (naked mole-rat)
Lineage: Eukaryota; Metazoa; Chordata; Mammalia; Rodentia; Bathyergidae
Description: lncRNA (ENSHGLG00100030062.2)
Source: RNAcentral